GAGCAAUCUGUGUGACUGCGUACCUUUUGUAUAAUGGGUCAGCGACUUAUAUUCUGUAGCAAGGUUAACCGAAUAGGGGAGCCGAAGGGAAACCGAGUCUUAACUGGGCGUUAAGUUGCAGGGUAUAGACCCGAAACCCGGUGAUCUAGCCAUGGGCAGGUUGAAGGUUGGGUAACACUAACUGGAGGACCGAACCGACUAAUGUUGAAAAAUUAGCGGAUGACUUGUGGCUGGGGGUGAAAGGCCAAUCAAACCGGGAGAUAGCUGGUUCUCCCCGAAAGCUAUUUAGGUAGCGCCUCGUGAAUUCAUCUCCGGGGGUAGAGCACUGUUUCGGCAAGGGGGUCAUCCCGACUUACCAACCCGAUGCAAACUGCGAAUACCGGAGAAUGUUAUCACGGGAGACACACGGCGGGUGCUAACGUCCGUCGUGAAGAGGGAAACAACCCAGACCGCCAGCUAAGGUCCCAAAGUCAUGGUUAAGUGGGAAACGAUGUGGGAAGGCCCAGACAGCCAGGAUGUUGGCUUAGAAGCAGCCAUCAUUUAAAGAAAGCGUAAUAGCUCACUGGUCGAGUCGGCCUGCGCGGAAGAUGUAACGGGGCUAAACCAUGCACCGAAGCUGCGGCAGCGACGCUUAUGCGUUGUUGGGUAGGGGAGCGUUCUGUAAGCCUGUGAAGGUGUACUGUGAGGUAUGCUGGAGGUAUCAGAAGUGCGAAUGCUGACAUAAGUAACGAUAAAGCGGGUGAAAAGCCCGCUCGCCGGAAGACCAAGGGUUCCUGUCCAACGUUAAUCGGGGCAGGGUGAGUCGACCCCUAAGGCGAGGCCGAAAGGCGUAGUCGAUGGGAAACAGGUUAAUAUUCCUGUACUUGGUGUUACUGCGAAGGGGGGACGGAGAAGGCUAUGUUGGCCGGGCGACGGUUGUCCCGGUUUAAGCGUGUAGGCUGGUUUUCCAGGCAAAUCCGGAAAAUCAAGGCUGAGGCGUGAUGACGAGGCACUACGGUGCUGAAGCAACAAAUGCCCUGCUUCCAGGAAAAGCCUCUAAGCAUCAGGUAACAUCAAAUCGUACCCCAAACCGACACAGGUGGUCAGGUAGAGAAUACCAAGGCGCUUGAGAGAACUCGGGUGAAGGAACUAGGCAAAAUGGUGCCGUAACUUCGGGAGAAGGCACGCUGAUAUGUAGGUGAAGUCCCUCGCGGAUGGAGCUGAAAUCAGUCGAAGAUACCAGCUGGCUGCAACUGUUUAUUAAAAACACAGCACUGUGCAAACACGAAAGUGGACGUAUACGGUGUGACGCCUGCCCGGUGC
Molecule: ribosomal RNA, 1302 nt
Filed under: Escherichia coli
Lineage: Bacteria; Pseudomonadati; Pseudomonadota; Gammaproteobacteria; Enterobacterales; Enterobacteriaceae
Description: partial 23S ribosomal RNA
Rfam family: Bacterial large subunit ribosomal RNA
Source: RNAcentral